AUUUCCCCAAUGGGUUCUCCGGAUUUCUGGAGACUUGUAGGGGUUGUGGGAUUUUUGAUGUGUCGUCUCCGGACGGGCGGUGCAGGGUAGUCGAGUUAGACUUGGUGGAAUUCCGUUGAUAGGAGUUCCGUCGAGUCUGGUCUGCUGUGUGUUGGACGGUGUAGGGUAGGCUGCUUGGACAUGGUCGGUUCGAGGAUCGAUUCGAGGGCCGGCCUGUCGAUGAUGUGUGAUGUAUGCGGUCUAGGGUAGGCUGGUUUGUCUUGGUUCAAUUUGAUGUCGGCUCCCGUGCAGGGCAGAGUGAGGGGGGUCCAGGGCAGGUACAGGGUAGGCAGCUUAGAUUUGGUCGAUCUGGAGGUCGAUUCUCCGGCUGGCGGAUCUGACACUGUCGAAACGAGAUGCGAGCGGUGUAGGGUAGGCUAGUUUCGUCCUCGCCAGGUUGCGAUUUGGACGAGACAUGUGGUUUAGGGUAGGCUCUAGGGUAAGUAGAAUUCGAGUUUCGUCGCCGACAGUUUUCUGUGGGUGUAUGGUAGGUACAGGGUAGGCAAAUCUCUCUCCGGCCAGUACUUGUCUGGUGGUCGUGAGUCGAUUUUUUUGUUUU
Molecule: unclassified non-coding RNA, 598 nt
Filed under: Fusarium oxysporum
Lineage: Eukaryota; Fungi; Ascomycota; Sordariomycetes; Hypocreales; Nectriaceae
Description: partial miscellaneous RNA
Source: RNAcentral